UUGAUAAUUAAUACUGAAAGUAAUCUCAAUGCAAAUAUUUGUAUGGCUUUAUCUAGUCUUAAUUUGUGACUUUCUAAUAGGAUUAUUUAUUUUCUCAUUCAAUAUCUAACAGCUUAAAUUGUUGAGGUAUAUACACAGGAGCAACUCACGUGCAUGUGUGACCUUUUUGAGAAGAAACCACGCAAGACUGUUGGUUAGCAAUCACCAUGUAAAAGGGUUUGCAGAAACCAGACAGAGGGCCUGGGUGGAGAUGCUAUUGGCUGCCUAGGUCGGACUGCCUCCAACCUGAGGUGGUCUUGGAGUGAUCUAACAUUAGAAUGAAUGGUUACGCUAGGAAUCAGACAAAGACUGGAGGUGAACAGUUUGGUAAAGUGAAGUCAAAAUGGAAAUCGUGCUGGCAGUCAUGAGGAACAAGGCCAAGCAUUGGGUCCAUCCAUGGCCAGGAGACAGAGACUGAGACAUCUGAGCAACUGCUUUCACAUAAGGCAGCCUGCUUCUGGACAUGGGGAAGCCAGAGAAAGAGAAGGAGGUUGAGGGGGAGCCUCAAGCUGUUCCCGAGGUACCAUUGACAUCCAGGGUAGAUGGGAUCUACCGGUAGUUGAUUGUGUAGGACACCAAGAUGAAACCCAGCGUAAGAGAAGAAAGAGAAGGUGAUCUUUCUGUUUUGACCAGCACACCGAGUACCAGGAGCAUGGAUCUGCUGCAAGUUCAACAGGAGACUCAGAAUGCAGCAAGCUAUGCUGCAAAUAUUUUAUAUAAAAAAUCAUCCAUGAUGAUUUUAAAAUUAUCCUUAAUUGUUUGCAGCAGUUUGUUAAUGGAAAUCAGAAGUAAUGUUGAAUAAUUCAACUUCUUUUUUUUUGUUCGUAUUUUACUACUGAUGUCCAUUAACAUCUACAAUAAAUAUUACCCGUGUUCUAAGCAAAUCUUGCUAAAUUUUAAAGGAGGCAUCAACUACUUAUUGGUGCAUAUACUCCACCUUUUUUUUAUGAUGUUCCCUUGUUUUCCUGCUGAAAAGCUCAAUGCAGCUUUAACUUAAGCAAAAUAUGAACAAAAAUCUUUAUUUGUAGAAAUCCAUACAGCAAUAUCUAUAUUACAGAGAUUGGGCAAGAUUGUUUC
Molecule: long non-coding RNA, 1116 nt
Organism: Lytechinus variegatus (green sea urchin)
Lineage: Eukaryota; Metazoa; Echinodermata; Echinoidea; Temnopleuroida; Toxopneustidae
Exons: 4
Source: RefSeq, a predicted model, not a curated record